Molecule: small RNA, 180 nt
Filed under: uncultured Prevotella sp.
Lineage: Bacteria; Pseudomonadati; Bacteroidota; Bacteroidia; Bacteroidales; Prevotellaceae
Description: Bacteroidales-1 6S-Bacteroidales RNA suggested
Rfam family: Bacteroidales-1 6S-Bacteroidales RNA suggested
Source: RNAcentral
GUAUCGGUUCGAUUGGGAUACUCAUCAAAUUACAUUGAAAACCGAGCAUGCUUCUCUUGCCAAUGGCGGGCCACAUAAAUCGCAUCGCCGCGACUAAGCUGUAAAGCCGGUGGAUUACAAAGACGGAGAGCGCUCACAACUUUUAUAGCUGGAGUUUUCAUCACAUCAUCGUUACGGUCC